CGUGCCUUCCCAGGAAAGUAGCUGUUUAUACUGAUGUAGAGCCUAAGGUUCCACGUGAGUAACACGAGUGCACUGAUUUCUAUUACACAGAACAUUAAUAAGAGAAGGCACUGACCCUCGAUUUCCGAGAACCAGGGAAAAAUUUGGAGCAUCUCCAAGAUUAUAGCUGCCAGUGGCGAUGGGGAGAGUGGCCGUGAUAUCUCACCUCCGGCCUCUCCUUCUGGCUGUCCAAGCUCUGGACUCUGAGCUCCGCCCGUCACAGCCAAACAGGACAGGGAGAUCGUGGGAAAGACAAGUGGCAGACACGGAGCCGUCCACGUGCAGUUACUCGCUUUACACUGUUUCUUGGUGCCAUAUGAGUGGUAAACUCCUCAGAACAUCAUCGCAGGAAAUCCAGCAAGCAGCCAGACCAAAGUUGGAGAGUCGGCCAUGUGAUUUCUUGUUAUCUGUCCAGAAGCCACUGUAAAUUCACUACAAAAAGCAAGCUCCUGGCUCCCAGGAGGAGAAGUGUCGCUGGAAGAAAGUCAGGAGGAUGCGGCUUUAUUUAAUUGAGAACUAAAUGUCUUUGGGAUUGCUCUCUCCUAAGGAAGGGCACUUUGCUGUACACGCAUGUCAAUGCCUCCUUGGUGGUCUGUCCCCUGAUUUAGCCCAGGUCCCCACUCUGAAUUAUAGGUUCCUCUUUCGUUUGCAGAGACACUACCUGCCAAGGCAGUAUUUGGGUUUCCAACACCAUUCCCCAUACCCUCGAGCCCCUCACGCCCACUUCUCCCCCUCAGUCAGAUACUCAGAGGCCCCCACUCAGAGUCACAGAGACUCGCAACGUAUUAAGAUGGCAAUAUCAUCUUAUUGGCUAUUAACACAAAUGUGCCAAUAAACAUAGUGCAUAAAAAUUAUACAUAUUCCCUUGGAGUCCAUAAUCCUGAACUGCUAUGGCUAAUGCAGAACACACUUCCCAAAAGUAGUGCUGGAAGUCACCAUGUACAAAUUGAAUUUUAAAUAAAUUUCCUGAAACAACACCAGUGGCUCUAGCCACCCGAGCUAUACGUAUGUGCUAAAAAUAGAACACAGAGUAGUCAUGCCCAUCCCAACCCCUAAGGGAUGGGACUGGUGGGCAUGUAUGUUGCUGCCUUGUCC
Long non-coding RNA from Bos taurus (domestic cattle), 1134 nucleotides. The record is from Ensembl. NCBI's taxonomy places the organism in Eukaryota, Metazoa, Chordata, Mammalia, Artiodactyla, Bovidae.